This is a long non-coding RNA of Macrobrachium nipponense, 527 nucleotides long. RefSeq lists it as uncharacterized. The record is from RefSeq and is a predicted model, not a curated record. The transcript is spliced from 3 exons. NCBI's taxonomy places the organism in Eukaryota, Metazoa, Arthropoda, Malacostraca, Decapoda, Palaemonidae.
UUAGUUAUACUACAGCGCUUGGCGUUCGUCACGUCGAAGGAACUCGGGAGAAUGGUUACGUCAGUUUUCGCCGUUGUAGUGUCGUCUCUGCUGAUCAGAUCAGCACUGUCAGCUGAGACCAGCUGGGGACGAUGCCCUGUACCUCCCGCAAUGUAUGGAUUUGAAAUGAGUAAGUUUGAGGGCGUGUGGUACCUGCAGGAGACUUUCGACCCCGGGGAGAGGUGCGCCACCUGGAACGUCACCAAGGGUCGCGAAUCGAACACCUGGAAAGUGGUCGAGAGCAAGGAAAGCGGAGCCUGGAGCGCCAUGGGCUUCAGGCACGCGGACUUCCACACCGGGACCAUCACCAUGUUGGACGCCAAGAACCAAGGCGAUCUCAGGGUCUUCUGGCCAAUAUCUGGUCGGUGAUAUAUCGUCAGUUUGUUAUGAUGUUGAGAUAAUACUUCAGGAUUAGAGUGAUAUAUUGUCAACAAUAUUGUUGAUUGGGAAAAACUCUCUUCUAAGGGGUCCACAAUAGUAAUAAAAUA